RNAcentral lists this long non-coding RNA (547 nucleotides) under Mytilus galloprovincialis (Mediterranean mussel). Lineage: Eukaryota; Metazoa; Mollusca; Bivalvia; Mytilida; Mytilidae. The record is from RNAcentral.
CGUUACACUUGACGAGAGAAUAUCUUUGACCUUUUUAUACAAAUAAGGCCAUAUUUUAGAUUAUGUGAUCUUAAAUAGGUCCAAGUACAAAUUAAUGCUAACACAUAACCUAAAUUAGCAAAAAAUAGUUCUUAGAUAGUGAUAGACUGUCAAAACAUUGACAUGAUUGAUUUUUAACGUCUUCUGAAAGGGACAUUUUUUAGGUCUUUGGUAUGGAAACCAACUUUACGUAUAAGAAUGUAGAAUUUUCCGUAAGAAUUAUCGUCCCCGUAUACUGAAUGAUAGUCUUUGUCCUUAUAAAAGAGGGACGAAAGAUACCAGAGGGACAGUCAAACUCAUAAAUCGAAAAUAAACUGACAACGCCAUUGCUAAAAAUGAAAAAGACAACAGACAAACAAUAGAACACAUGACACAACAUAGAAAACUAAAGAAUAAGCAAAACUAACCCAACCAAAAACUGGGGGUGAUCUCAUGUACACCGGAAGGGUAAGCAGAUUCUACUCCACAUAUGGCACCCGUCGUGUUGCUCAUGUUAAAACAAAUCCGA